UCCUCUAUUGAGAACUCUGCACACCUAGG
This 29-nucleotide non-coding RNA is filed under the name Rattus norvegicus (Norway rat). Lineage: Eukaryota; Metazoa; Chordata; Mammalia; Rodentia; Muridae. The record is from RNAcentral.